This 975-nucleotide ribosomal RNA is filed under the name uncultured Ferribacterium sp. RNAcentral's name for it is "bacterial SSU rRNA". It matches the Rfam family "Bacterial small subunit ribosomal RNA", at positions 509 to 1482 of the family's 1533-position model. Lineage: Bacteria; Pseudomonadati; Pseudomonadota; Betaproteobacteria; Rhodocyclales; Azonexaceae. The record is from RNAcentral.
CAGCAGCCGCGGUAAUACGUAGGGUGCGAGCGUUAAUCGGAAUUACUGGGCGUAAAGCGUGCGCAGGCGGUUUGUUAAGAUAGGCGUGAAAUCCCCGGGCUCAACCUGGGAACUGCGUUUAUGACUGGCAGGCUAGAGUAUGGCAGAGGGGGGUGGAAUUCCACGUGUAGCAGUGAAAUGCGUAGAGAUGUGGAGGAACACCGAUGGCGAAGGCAGCCCCCUGGGCCAAUACUGACGCUCAUGCACGAAAGCGUGGGUAGCAAACAGGAUUAGAUACCCUGGUAGUCCACGCCCUAAACGAUGUCAACUAGGUGUUGGGUGGGUAAAACCAUUUAGUACCGGAGCUAACGCGUGAAGUUGACCGCCUGGGGAGUACGGCCGCAAGGUUAAAACUCAAAGGAAGUGACGGGGACCCGCACAAGCGGUGGAUGAUGUGGAGUAAUUCGAUGCAACGCGAAAAACCGUACCGACCGUUGACAUGUCCAGAAGCUCUUAGAGAUUUGAGUGUGCCCGAAAGGGAACUGGAACACAGGUGCUGCAUGGCUGUCGUCAGCUCGUGUCGUGAGAUGUUGGGUUAAGUCCCGCAACGAGCGCAACCCUUGUCGUUAAUUGCCAUCAUUCAGUUGGGCACUUUAACGAGACUGCCGGUGACAAACCGGAGGAAGGUGGGGAUGACGUCAAGUCCUCAUGGCCCUUAUGGGUAGGGCUUCACACGUCAUACAAUGGUCGGUACAAAGGGUUGCCAACCCGCGAGGGGGAGCUAAUCCCAGAAAGCCGAUCGUAGUCCGGAUCGUAGGCUGCAACUCGCCUGCGUGAAGUCGGAAUCGCUAGUAAUCGUGGAUCAGCAUGUCACGGUGAAUACGUUCCCGGGUCUUGUACACACCGCCCGUCACACCAUGGGAGCGGGUUCCGCCAGAAGUAGGUAGCCUAACCGCAAGGAGGGCGCUUACCACGGCGGGGUUCGUGACUGGGGUG